Molecule: long non-coding RNA, 211 nt
Filed under: Felis catus (domestic cat)
Lineage: Eukaryota; Metazoa; Chordata; Mammalia; Carnivora; Felidae
Description: lncRNA (ENSFCAG00000047895.1)
Source: RNAcentral
AUGGUUUGCUUGGUGUCAUUCCUGACAUUUUCUAUGGAGACUUCCAGUUGUAAGAGCUCCAGGCUUCAGGGAAUGGAUGACAGAGGGAACCGACUCCUGACUAUCAGCGCGCACCAGGGAAAACACAAGCAAUGAAUGUGUUCGCAACCUCUGUCACCUCCUAUUUGCUUUACAUUUACCAUUGGUUUUAAUAAAUAGGAGCCGGGUUCCA